This 31-nucleotide non-coding RNA is filed under the name Mus musculus (house mouse). The record is from RNAcentral. Lineage: Eukaryota; Metazoa; Chordata; Mammalia; Rodentia; Muridae.
UGGCAAUGCAGAAAACAUCACGGCAAGUUGC